Molecule: ribosomal RNA, 1415 nt
Filed under: uncultured bacterium
Lineage: Bacteria
Description: partial 16S ribosomal RNA
Rfam family: Bacterial small subunit ribosomal RNA
Source: RNAcentral
AGAGUUUGAUCCUGGCUCAGGAUGAACGCUGGCUGCGUGCCUAACACAUGCAAGUCGAAGGACGUCCUUAAGAAGAUUUCUUCUGAAUGAAUCUUUUGUGACUUAUGAGGCGGACGGGUGAGAAAUGCGUGGGUAACCUGGCUUAUCCCGGGGGAUAAGGAUUAGAAAUGAAUGUGUGUACCACUUACGCGGACAUGAUCCCAUGAAACUGUGUGAGAAGGAUAGAGAGGAUAACAUGGACCCUCGUCUGAUUAUCUAGUUGGUACGGUGAACAGCCUAGCAAGGGGACCAUCAAUGGCCGGCCUCGAGAGGGUGAACGGCCACAUUGGGACUGACACACGGCCACAGCACUCCUAGCAGGGAUGCUAGCAUCUGGUGGGACUAUUAGCACUAGUGGCGGGACAACCUCUGAGUGCAGCGACGACCGCGUGAGUGAAUAAAUAUUUCUGUAUGUGAAGCUCUAUCGAGCUGGAAGAUGAUGACGGUGCCUGACUAAGAAGCCUCGGGUAACUACAUGCCAGCGGCCGCGGUAAUACGUAUGGGGCAGACGUUAUCCUGAUUUAUUGGGUGUAAAGGGAGUGUAGGCGGCCGGACAAGUCAUAAGUGAAAACACAGGGUUUAUCUAUGUGACUGCUUCAGAAACUGUAAGCCUCGAGUACUGGAGAGGCAAGAGGAAUUCUUAGUGUAGCGGUGAAAAGAGUAGAUAUUAGGAAGAACACCGGUGGUGAAGGAGGCUUGUCGGACAGAGAUUCGACGAUGAGGGCUGCAAAGCGUGGGGAGCAAACAGCAUUAGAUACUAUGGUAGUACAUCCCUGCAAACGAUGAAUAAUAGGUGUUGGCACUGGAUGCGGUUUAGGUGCCGCAGCUGAGGCAUUAAGUAUUCCUCCUGGGGAGGAGGUUGGCAAGAAGGAAACUCAUAGGAAUUGUCGGGGAGCGGCACCACCGGUGGAGCAUGUGGUUUUAUUUAGUCGCUACGCGAAGAGCCUCAUCAGCCCUUGUCAUCCUGAUGACCAUCCGGGUAACGCCGGGCUGUUCUUUGAGCAUCAGAGACAGGUGGUGCCUGGUUGUUGUUAGGUUGUGUUGUGAGAUGUUGGGUUAAGUCCCGCAACGAGCGCCACCCUUAUUUUUUGUUGCCCGUGGUUAGGCCGGGCACUCUAGGGAGACUGCCAGGGCUAACCUGGAGGAAGGCGGGGACGACGUCAAAUCAUCAUGCCCCUUACGUUCUGGGCUACACACGUGUUACAAUGGUGGCUACAAAGAGACGCCACCCUGCGAGGGGGAGCAAAUCUCAAAAAGGCCGUCCCAGUUGGGAUGGUAUGUUUGCAAUUGGCUCCCAGGAAGCGGGAAUCGUUGGUAUUCGCCAUUCAGCAUGUUGCGGUGAAUACGUUCCCGGGCCUUGCACACACCGCCGGUCA